UACGGGGGGGGCAAGCGUUGUUCGGAAUUACUGGGCGUAAAGGGCUCGUAGGCGGCCAACUAAGUCCGACGUGAAAUCCCCAGGCUCAACCUGGGAACUGCGUCGGAUACUGGAUGGCUUGAAUUCGGGAGAGGGAAGCAGAAUUCCAGGUGUAGCGGUGAAAUGCGUAGAUAUCUGGAGGAAUACCGGUGGCGAAGGCGGCAUCCUGGACCGACAUUGACGCUGAAAAGCGAAAGCUAGGGGAGCAAACGGG
RNAcentral lists this ribosomal RNA (253 nucleotides) under uncultured bacterium. Its description in RNAcentral is "partial 16S ribosomal RNA". It matches the Rfam family "Bacterial small subunit ribosomal RNA", at positions 524 to 776 of the family's 1533-position model. The record is from RNAcentral.